UGCAAGUCGAGGGGCAUCAGUUUGGUUUGCUUGCAAACCAAAGCUGGCGACCGGCGCACGGGUGAGUAACACGUAUCCAACCUGCCGAUAACUCCGGAAUAGCCUUUCGAAAGAAAGAUUAAUACCGGAUAGCAUACGAAUAUCGCAUGAUAUUUUUAUUAAAGAAUUUCGGUUAUCGAUGGGGAUGCGUUCCAUUAGUUUGUUGGCGGGGUAACGGCCCACCAAGACUACGAUGGAUAGGGGUUCUGAGAGGAAGGUCCCCACAUUGGAACUGAGACACGGUCCAAACUCC
This 292-nucleotide ribosomal RNA is filed under the name uncultured Bacteroides sp. Its description in RNAcentral is "partial 16S ribosomal RNA". It matches the Rfam family "Bacterial small subunit ribosomal RNA", at positions 56 to 339 of the family's 1533-position model. The record is from RNAcentral. Lineage: Bacteria; Pseudomonadati; Bacteroidota; Bacteroidia; Bacteroidales; Bacteroidaceae.